GAAUUAGUAGUUCAGUGGAAGUAGCGUGUGACUACGAAUCACAAGGUCGGGGGUUCGAAUCCCUCCUAAUUCG
RNAcentral lists this transfer RNA (73 nucleotides) under Dinophyceae sp. TGD. RNAcentral describes it as "tRNA-Arg". It matches the Rfam family "tRNA". Rfam says of the family: Transfer RNA (tRNA) molecules are approximately 80 nucleotides in length. Their secondary structure includes four short double-helical elements and three loops (D, anti-codon, and T loops). Further hydrogen bonds mediate the characteristic L-shaped molecular structure. tRNAs have two regions of fundamental functional importance: the anti-codon, which is responsible for specific mRNA codon recognition, and the 3' end, to which the tRNAs corresponding amino acid is attached (by aminoacyl-tRNA synthetases). tRNAs cope with the degeneracy of the genetic code in two manners: having more than one tRNA (with a specific anti-codon) for a particular amino acid; and 'wobble' base-pairing, i.e. permitting non-standard base-pairing at the 3rd anti-codon position. Lineage: Eukaryota; Dinophyceae. The record is from RNAcentral.